Molecule: ribosomal RNA, 402 nt
Filed under: uncultured bacterium
Lineage: Bacteria
Description: bacterial SSU rRNA
Rfam family: Bacterial small subunit ribosomal RNA
Source: RNAcentral
UUUGGAAUAUUGCACAAUGGGGGAAACCCUGAUGCAGCGACGCCGCGUGGAGGACGAAGGAUCUAGGUCUGUAAACUCCUUUUGCCAGGAAAGACUUAGGACGGUACCUGGCGAAUAAGCCCCGGCUAACUACGUGCCAGCAGCCGCGGUAAGACGUAGGGGGCGAGCGUUGUCCGGAUUUACUGGGCGUAAAGAGCGCGUAGGCGGCUAGUUAAGUGAGAAGUGAAAUCUCCAGGGCUCAACCCGGAAACUGCUUUUCAUACUGGCCAGCUGGAGGGACGCAGGGGUGACUGGAAUUCCCGGUGUAGCGGUGAAAUGCAUUGAUAUCGGGAGGAACUCCAACAGCGAAGGCAGGUCACUGGGCGUUUCCUGACGCUGAGGCGCGAAAGCGUGGGUAGCAAA